AUGAGCCUUUCACAUUGUUGUGAUAAUAGUGCAUCUGCUGAGUCAGUAUCUCUCUCUUUUUUUUUUAAUACCCCAUUUCCAGCAAGCUUGUUGCCCAGUUCCUGCUCACAACCAGGGAACGGCUGUAAGUCAAUGGAAAAAAAGAACAACGAGAAGUGCAAUCGCAGCCUCUGCUUGUGGUAUGACAGACUAUGCAGGCUCUGGGACUACCAUGCCAUCCUAUUCUACUCUGCUUUCAGGCUGCAAUUAGAAGUUGCAUUGGGAAGAAGCAACUUCCAUGCAAAGAUGUGGAUGGAACAUGAAUACUAUUCCAGUGAGAAUAAUACGUGCAAAAGGCCUGAUUCUCAGAGGCGAGGUCAUCGGCAUCUCCAUUUGCACAUCUGCUUUGCUAAAAGAAAAAACCCAGAGAUGUGCAAACCUCCAACAUGCACAAAAUGGGACUAGUUCACUGGUCAUUUAGCUCUGCAGGCAAGAAACUGUUUGUGCUUCUCAUUUACUUUUAACAGGUAGGUUACAGAAUUAGAAUCUCAGUAUAUGACUCUGCCACUGUCCAAAAAACCCUGCAUAAGGGCAUCUCUGCUGCUGUCUCCUCUGAUCUGCUGCUUUUUAAAUCUACACGGUUUUGGGAUUUUAAAUACAUUUAGAUGAAUUAAGGGCCCACAUCCCAAUACAGACAUUUUUACUGCAAUCUUUUGGACAAUUYGUACUCCAAGGCAAAAUUUUUUUUUGUUCCAUGCUUGACUCUGUGCAGUAUAAUGUAACAGUGUUACAUAUAAUGCUCAAGCUUGGAGGGCACUUCCUGAUAUUGGACAUAUUUUUAUAGCACGUGAACAUGUGUCACAUGACUUCCUCUAACUGAACUGAAAUUAUUUGCUCUGUAUGCAAAAUAUUUGCUGUUCAACAACAGGGAGCAUUUUGCUAGUCUUCACAUGUGGGUACCUGUAUGCUCUAUAUUAAAAAGGAAAAGAAGAUAGGCUUCUCAGUGCCACAUCAUACAAGAGAAGUCAGGAUACUAACAUGUAAAAAAAGAGCAUAAUAUGUCAACCAGCUUCAGAAAGUUGCUUAUGUUCAAUGUCUCACUACUUGGACUGUGCAGACACUGAUAGCAGAAAAAGCUGUCUAAUCAGAGCUCCUGUAGAGACAGUCCUCCUGGAGCCUGCCUUUCACAAACUUAUCUAGAUUCACUCUUUGGGGGCUUCAAGAGAAGAGCUSAAAUAUUUCUACUUCCUGCUCUUAAUAUAUUUUUUCACACCUCAAAAAGGUCUUCUGAUUGUAAUGUAUUUGCACUUGAUACCUAGAUACUGGUUCUUGUUCAGUGACCUUUAAUACACAGUAUUUUGUGCCUCAUACAUUUUACAUGAUAUAAAACACUGAUGUCAGUAUAAUUCCAAUGGUGGCAAAAUUGGUUUCAAUUAAUGCAAUUUGAUAAUCAUAUAUAUGCCUAAUAAUUUCUGGAUUUAUGCUAAUCUAAAAUGUCCCUUAAUAUCCUGGAAUAAAGACUUCCACAGGUAAUCUCUAUAUACUAGU
Molecule: long non-coding RNA, 1527 nt
Filed under: Dromaius novaehollandiae (emu)
Lineage: Eukaryota; Metazoa; Chordata; Aves; Casuariiformes; Dromaiidae
Description: lncRNA (ENSDNVG00000001793.1)
Source: RNAcentral